AAACAGCCCCCUAUGUUUUGAUUCUUUGGCAGUUUUGGACCCCCAAGGCAAAAAUAUUUUUUUUUGACACGUGGCACCUCACUUAGGGUGCCACGUCAGCAUUGACCGAGUCAACAAUGGACUGGGGGUCCAAAAAUGCCAAAGAAUCAAAACAUAGGGGGCUAUUU
This is a microRNA precursor of Medicago truncatula (barrel medic), 167 nucleotides long. It matches the Rfam family "MIR2619 microRNA precursor family". The record is from Rfam. Lineage: Eukaryota; Viridiplantae; Streptophyta; Magnoliopsida; Fabales; Fabaceae.